Molecule: unclassified non-coding RNA, 4297 nt
Filed under: Aplysia californica (California sea hare)
Lineage: Eukaryota; Metazoa; Mollusca; Gastropoda; Aplysiida; Aplysiidae
Description: uncharacterized LOC101848797, transcript variant X3
Source: RNAcentral
UCUUACGCGGCCCAGCUGUGACUAGCCUAACUGACACUACUGUCAACAUAGAGGCUAAGUGUCAAGAUCAAAUUAGGCCUAUUGAAGCGUUAGAAGGUCACUUUAUGUGGAAAGAUGUCAUCUGUGAAUUUGUCUUAUGAACAUAAUGUCGAGGAUGUUCUAGACUUUGAAAUAGACACUGACAAACCGGGAGGUACAUUUGCUGUCAGUGUGGGUGCACUGCUUAUGCUUGCAUACUUUUUGUCAUUGGUUGUGUCAUAUUUGCACAUUCGCACUGAUUCUAUUGUUUAUCCCAUGGCACGGGCACCAACAGGACAGUACUUCUGUGAGUACUUCAUCCUGAUCAGGACAUCUCUUAGGCCAGAGUCCUCAUUUGAUCGUCAGCUGAGAGGACGGAUAUUUAUACAGCUGUUUGGAUCCUUCGCAGAUUCCCCUGUUCUUCUUUUGAAAAAAGGAAGAGGCAUUCAGUUCUUUUUUGCCCGUGGCGCCACCAACAUUUUCGUUUUCCAUUCACCUUAUGAUUUAGGUGACAUUGUGAGUUUCAAAUUUGAAUUCAUCAAUGACGCUCCUUAUGAAAUUCCAUUCAUUUCUUGGUUUCCAUCUUUUGUGUCAGUGCUGCGUCCUGCCACAAAAAAACAUUGGGGAUGCCAACCCGAAGAAAAACUUUUUUGUCAUGACAAAAUGGCAAUGACAUUUGACUGCACCCCAGGCCUGAGAGACUCAAAUGGAAUCCUUAAAUCUCUUUUUCUGUAUCAUAACUGGCUUUCAAUGAUGAAUUCACCUGUGAGAUUUGGCAUGUACAGCAACAUUGUGAACACAAUAAUGGUGUAUUUCUCUCCUGUGAUGAUCCUGUCCAUUCUUGAGUUGUAUCAGUUUGUGCAAGAUUCGAGAGAUGCGCCUCAGUAUCUGCCAGAGAUUUUAAAAACCCCCGAAGUUUGUGUUGCUCUGACUGUGGUUCUGGUGUGGAUCACUCAACUUCUGCUGGAGGCCUUAUUAAGAAACACAGCCCCAAAAUCCUAUUGUGCAUCAUUGAAACUCUAUGAUGGCCUCGCAGAUGUCAUAGAGUCUCCAUUCAUUGGACGCGAUUUUCUUGUUGAAUAUGACUGGGAAGGAGUCAAACCAUUGAUUCCCAGACACGGUGUAGUAAUGGCCAUGGGGAGCUCACAUGGAUAUGCCCAGAGUGUCUUUAACAUUGGAAAGCUUCAUUCUGUCUACAAUCUUUGGGGCAUAUAUACAUUAGAGGAACAAAGAGAGUGGAGUAUCUUUACACGAAGCAUUAAUGCAGCUGCUCUUCCGCUGCCUCCGUCAAUGAGGUGGCUUGCUAAGGAAACUUGGAGCAUCAAAGAAGAAAUACUUGUAAAUCAGUAUGAAAGAACACACGACAGUCCAGUGUGCCUCUUCUGUUCCUGGUUACGCGACUGGCCUGCACCUUACAUUAAUGAACCUCAGCAGGCAGGUGUGAUCUUCAGUAACAUCAUCUGCAAAGAUAUUCUUACCCUCAUCAAGAUGGAGAACAGGCUCACCCGUGCACGAUUUGCUCGUGUUUGUUUGUUCCAAUGGCAUGGAUUGCUGUGUUUUGUUUUCUUGUACUUCAUUUUGCAAGAAGCAGACAGAAGAAAUGAAGCCACAUCAGCUAUCAAAGCCUUCAUUCGGAGAACAGUGGAUCAAUUUAGCAACAGGAAUGCGCGUGAAAUCCAGGCGAAGUGGGAAUUGAGAAAGCGACAUUUCCAGUCUGUAUUUAAAGGAAAGAUCAGAUCUGUAACUUCCCUACCAGCAGGAGUGUUACAAAUAAAGGAUGAACUUGAACUGUUUGCUCAUCAUCAACCACACUAUGACUACCUCACAAGUAAACAAGAUGUUACGAGAAAUCUUCUGGAAGACGAGUGGGAUGAUGAAAAUAUGAGUGCCCAGCCUUUUGUUUUCACAACAUGUAAGAUUGCGAGCUCCAUAUUAAAGAGAAUUUUCCCAGUGAUGAAAAAAGCAAACACUGAAUUGAAAUCUCGUUGGAGUAAUGAUGGCUCCUGGGACUUUGACAAUUUUGAGACGGAUGAACUGAUUUUUGAAAAAAAUGGAGAUAAUUGCAGUGGAUCUGGCUUAUUCAAAGCAGGAACUAGAAGGACAAACAAGAAAACAAAUGGGUCUGGUGAUGACGCUUUGAAUGUCAGUAAUGAAGCACAUGAAAUUGAGCAUCAGUCACCUUGCCGAAAGAUGAAUGUAAGGAUGGAUUGUUAUGAUGACAUAGAGCCUACAGGAUAUUAUGAAGUAGAAGAGUGCCCAGAGAGAAGGAAGAGAAAACGCUUCAGUGGAAACUUAUCAGGUCGAAAGUCUUCAUCAGGGCUGCAUACAGGACCCAGUGCUAAUCAACCCUGUAGUUCACGGACAUCAGUUAAAGAAAGCUGGAAGUUUGAUCAGAACAAUUGUGCUCUUGAGGAUUUGCAGCAAGAGAAAAAAGACAAAGACCAAAUUGUCAAGGAGAAACUAGAGAAAAAGAGAAGGACUAACGAACCAGUACAGAAAGUGGAAGGUGUAACCGAUGAGAAGAAAAUAGUAAAUAAAGAGGUACAGGAUGUUGAUGACCUUGAAGAUAGGAAGAGCUGCCCUAUAUCAUCUUUCGAAACUGUGAAGCUGGGAUGCAGCUAUAACAAAAGUGUAAUGCCCAAAGAAAAUCCUUCAAACCCAUCCAUGCUUCUUCGACACAAGGAUGAACUUUCUGGUUAUUGUUGUGGAACUGAGAAAUGUGAACUUUAUCUAGAAAUUCACAAGAAGGUUGGCCAUAUCUCAUUGGAAAUAAUAAGGAAACAAUUACUGAAACUCCUGCACUAUGCCAUGGAUUCGAGAUUCAACAGGCUGGAAAGAUCAAAAUGCUGGCUGAGAAAGAAACUGGUGACCACAACUUUUGAAUCCAUGGUUAAAAAGGCUCAACUGUUUGAUGAUUCCAUGUUCCGCCCUACAAAUGAAGAUAAAAAUAGCUUUGUAGGUUUUAUCUGCAAUGAGCUCAUGACCAGUAAUCUUACCAUUCUAGAGGUCAUGCUGGAUGUGGUUGAUAUCAACCGCCAGGUAUGCAAAAUGCUGCAAGCCAAAGAGAUGGCCGACAGUCUGGCCUUGAAUAAUCCAGGUGAUGGCCAGAAGAAAGCAAAUCUUAAAGGAGGAAAAAAGGACAAAACAAGACCACCCCGAUGCCUGUUUUGUGCAAAAAUCUUGAAGAUUGAGACUAAUGCAAUGACAAAGGGAUGCUACAAUAUGGAGAAGCUUGUGAAGUUCUUUACCAGAGACACCAUCAUUGUUGCGGAGAAAGAGAUUAAUUUGCAGUUCAUUAGCAAAAUGACUGUACAGAGCUACUGUGCCAUGAUUGUGAACAUCUCAAAGAAAGAACUACUCAUGGAACUAGAGGACCCUCCUUUGGUUCUCUCCACCAAAAUGAUUCGAGCCAUGAUAUACUCUUUGCUGGAUGAGAACUUGCCCAAACACAAAGACUUGAAAGACAUGUCGGCAGAAGAGCUCAGGCGCAUGGGAACCCGAAGACAGAGGAUUCAGGCUCGCCAUGACCCACUGUCUGGAAACAGAUUAAAAGAAAGCCAAGAGCAAAAACGCAGAAAAGCUUUGAUCCAGGCCCUUGUUGAUGAAUUUUCUACCAAAUGGAGAGUAAAUGUCAAAGAGAACACACUGGUUUACAGCGCUGAACUACUAGCCCAGUGUCUUGUGCAAGAACGCAUCCUUGGUUUUUCCAUCUACUCUGGCUUUAUCAGUAAAGAACAUGAAAUGUUGCUGGACGGUAGUCGCAGCCGCCUGGCUGAAGUGGAGGAGAAAGCCUACAAUACUGUGAUCUUCAUUGCAAGGAAGUUCCUUUCUCCCAUCUUGACAGAGAUUUUGAACAGUGGUAAUGAAGUUGAUGUUCUCUUUAUGAAGCAGAAAAUGGAAAUCAAUUACUUUGUGGAAGCAAUUAAUGUUAUUCAAGUCUCAAAAGUACCUUCCUUUUUGAAGACAUGCUGCCACUACAUUGAGGAUAUUGUGACUGUCAAAAUGGAAGAGUUCAAAGAAUUCAGGCUCUACAUGAAGAAUUUGAAGCCAAUGAGAGAUUUGUUCUUGACUCCUAAUCUGAAACUGUGGAACCACAGGAGGAGACACAACCCAUGGCCAUUGCCUCUCCAAUUCUCCGCUGGGGACCUGUGGCUGUCAAAGGAGAGAAACCCCUUCCAGAGGAACUGAAAACUGUGGUAAACAAAACAGCAGAUUUUGACACACUACUUACCCAAGUCAUUAGCAACAGUGCUGGUGACCCAGUUAAAGAAGCCCUUGU